UCUGCAGUGAUGAUUGAGACAGUGACUUUCGUUCUUCUGAGUUCAACUGAAGCCAAUAUUUCUGUCCUGAGAAGA
Small nucleolar RNA from Hippocampus comes (tiger tail seahorse), 75 nucleotides. The record is from Ensembl. NCBI's taxonomy places the organism in Eukaryota, Metazoa, Chordata, Actinopteri, Syngnathiformes, Syngnathidae.